Long non-coding RNA from Nematolebias whitei (Rio pearlfish), 951 nucleotides. RefSeq lists it as uncharacterized. Lineage: Eukaryota; Metazoa; Chordata; Actinopteri; Cyprinodontiformes; Rivulidae. The record is from RefSeq and is a predicted model, not a curated record. The transcript is spliced from 3 exons.
GACGCUACACAUCUCGUGACUGCCAUCAACAAGCUGACUGAUUUCUGGAAAAAACAGGAGCAAGCAGGUCAAAAGAUGCCUGACUCCUGGCCUGCACUGAUCACCAUGAGAAAGGUUGGAGGUUCUGAUCUUAUAUCCUUGUCCUGGUUUCUCCCUCCUGGUUUGGACGUAAAGGUCUUAGAUACGUCUGUCACAAUAGAGCACAAAGACGCUUCCACAGUCUAUGUCAGGAGUUUUGAUGGAGUCCCAACUCUCAGUGCUGGUCAGCAAAAUGCAGAAAUUCUUAAAGAGGUCUUGACUAAAACAGGGAUAACUUUUGAUCCUCAAUUUUUCUCUGCAGCCUUCUACGAGUCGUAUUUCGCUGUGACUCACCACAAUGAAAUAUGGCUUUAUGGUGCAUAAAUAGUGCGGCCCUGCGUCUUUGCCCCUAUACAAAUGUUUGUUAUUCUCUGACCGCUGAGGUGAUGUAGCUAAAUCACAGAUACCAUCUCAGUCUGUAGCAUUUCUGUCACAAUAAUCCCAUGGCAGGCCACACAAAUCACUGCAAAGGUGUUUCUGUGGUAUGAAGAAAACCGGUUCCGGUACUAUUUUGGUAUUUACCUCCAUUGCUUCAUUACCGUCAGCUGAGUCCUUCCUCUGCUAGAACGUCAUUCUUCUAACAUCUACCCAUCUACUUGUUUUCUGUACCUGCAGUUUUCUGUUGUAAUGUAUCAGCUGCAGUUCAGUCAAAUAUAUUAAACCAUCAAAGCCUGAAAAUGUAACUGCUUUACUUUUUGUCUGGCUUUAUCAAAUGUGCUUAUUUCUUGUACAAAUAAAAUAUUAUUUCCUGCUUCAUCUGCACAGGAUAAGUUAUCUGAAACUCUCCAAACACAAAGAACAAUUUACUGGUUUGACCUGUUCCUGCUAGAUAUUCAACCACUUUCUUUGUUUGAGUUAAUUAAAGAUCAAAUG